AAUCCAUAGGUUAAUGAGGCGAACCGGGGGAACUGAAACAUCUAAGUACCCCGAGGAAAAGAAAUCAACCGAGAUUCCCCCAGUAGCGGCGAGCGAACGGGGAGGAGCCCAGAGCCUGAAUCAGCAUGUGUGUUAGUGGAAGCGUCUGGAAAGGCGCGCGAUACAGGGUGACAGCCCCGUACACAAAAGCGCAUGUGCUGUGAGCUCGAUGAGUAGGGCGGGACACGUGGUAUCCUGUCUGAAUAUGGGGGGACCAUCCUCCAAGGCUAAAUACUCCUGACUGACCGAUAGUGAACCAGUACCGUGAGGGAAAGGCGAAAAGAACCCCGGCGAGGGGAGUGAAAAAGAACCUGAAACCGUGUACGUACAAGCAGUGGGAGCACAGGUUUACCUGUGUGACUGCGUACCUUUUGUAUAAUGGGUCAGCGACUUAUAUUCUGUAGCAAGGUUAACCGAAUAGGGGAGCCGGAGGGAAACCGAGUCUUAAUUGGGCGUUAAGUUGCAGGGUAUAGACCCGAAACCCGGUGAUCUAGCCAUGGGCAGGUUGAAGGUUGGGUAACACUAACUGGAGGACCGAACCGACUAAUGUUGAAAAAUUAGCGGAUGACCUGUGGCUGGGGGUGAAAGGCCAAUCAAACCGGGAGAUAGCUGGUUCUCCCCGAAAGCUAUUUAGGUAGCGCCUCGUGAAUUCAUCUCCGGGGGUAGAGCACUGUUUCGGCUAGGGGGCCAUCCCGGCUUACCAACCCGAUGCAAACUGCGAAUACCGGAGAAUGUUAUCACGGGAGACACACGGCGGGUGCUAACGUCCGUCGUGAAGAGGGAAACAACCCAGACCGCCAGCUAAGGUCCCAAAGUCAUGGUUAAGUGGGAAACGAUGUGGGAAGGCCCAGACAGCCAGGAUGUUGGCUUAGAAGCAGCCAUCAUUUAAAGAAAGCGUAAUAGCUCACUGGUCGAGUCGGCCUGCGCGGAAGAUGUAACGGGGCUAAACCAUGCACCGAAGCUGCGGCAGCGAACGUAUCACUUAAAGCGAUUCAGCGGGUUACGAUUGACGGAGCGAAGCGACGUCAAAGCGUAUACAAAGUCGAGUCGGUUUAAGGAUACGUUCGUUGGGUAGGGGAGCGUUCUGUAAGCCUGUGAAGGUGGCCUGUGAGGGUUGCUGGAGGUAUCAGAAGUGCGAAUGCUGACAUAA
RNAcentral lists this ribosomal RNA (1189 nucleotides) under Salmonella enterica subsp. enterica serovar Newport. Its description in RNAcentral is "partial 23S ribosomal RNA". It matches the Rfam family "Bacterial large subunit ribosomal RNA", at positions 161 to 1305 of the family's 2925-position model. The record is from RNAcentral. Lineage: Bacteria; Pseudomonadati; Pseudomonadota; Gammaproteobacteria; Enterobacterales; Enterobacteriaceae.